Vespa crabro (European hornet) is the source of this 484-nucleotide long non-coding RNA. RefSeq lists it as uncharacterized. NCBI's taxonomy places the organism in Eukaryota, Metazoa, Arthropoda, Insecta, Hymenoptera, Vespidae. The record is from RefSeq and is a predicted model, not a curated record. The transcript is spliced from 2 exons.
CAGAGAAAAGUGGUGGCGGUGCGGGUACGGGGACGGGGGCGGGGGCGAGAGAAAAAGAGAGAGGAGAGAGGGGCGGGGAGGGGCGGGGAGGGGAGGGGGUUUAGAUUCAUUAUAUCUCUGCUUAAGAGUCUUUACUCUACAAACUAUACGCGCUAUAUGUUUGAAUAAAAGUGUGCGUUGAUGUGUAUGCCCGGAGAUUGACUUUGGUAUAUACAACACAAACUAAGUGAAAUCUAGAACACCAGAUUCUCACAUAAAACCUGCGUUACGAGAACUGGCUCGGUCGAGGCUUCUCGAGAACAAAGCACACCUACGUGACCCGUGGCGGAAUCACACGCGAGUUGGCACGACUAGGGACCUCUGUGUCAUGUCAUCUGACUUUUGAAAAAAAUCGACUGCCUUUAUAAAAACCAAAAAAAAAAAAAAAGAAAGAAAGAAAGAAAGAAAGAAAGAAAAGAGAAAAACAAACCAAUACCGAAGAAAA